CAAAACUAAUAAUAAUUUUAAAAAAAGUACUAAAAAUAUGCGUGAGAUUAAAUUUAUUCAGUUUUGAUCGUCGAUAAUAACUUCUUCUCCGUUAUCCGAGAUAAUUUCCCUUAUUUGCUCGUGUCUAAUUCCAUAUCCUCUGAUUUUUUGAUUGCUGGUUGCAUGUCCCAUAUCCUGCUCAGAAAUAUGAUAUCUAGUGGUUCCAUUAUUGUUAACAAUGAGAUUCUUAAUAAUAAUCCUUGAGCCGUUCUUUGCCACAAUUCUAACUGAACCGUCUACAAAGAAUUUUCCACUGAUCACCACAUCUCCUUCUAAAUGCACAUAGGAUCUACUUGUAAUAAUAAUAGGACCAGCCUGAAUCCUUUGGAGAAGAUCAGAAUACUUAAUUGCGAAUGAAGGGUGCAAAACAACCAUUGCUCCAACUCUGACUGGAAUUCCGGCGAUCAUUUCGUGUUUGAUUAGAGAGUUCUUAUCAUCCUUUCCAGUGACUGGAUCCCUUCCACUCUCCUCAAUUCUACAAACUACACCCUUUUCAAUUGAUGCCAAUCUCAAAUAUUGUGAGGCAGCUGCAUAGAAGUCGCCUUCUGUUAUAGAGGCGGUAUCUAUGGAGACUCCUGCACUAUGUUUUGCUCUUCCCUCGGCCAAGCUAUUCUUGCAAGCAGAGAAUGUAGCCCAUCUCUGCAUUUGCACGCAUCCAACCUUGUAAUCAGCCUCAAAUAAGAGUGGAAUAUCUUGCAUCAUACAUUCUAAACGAGUUGGGCUUUUGAAUGCUGUUUUAGUUGAGUCCAAAUACUUAGGGUUCACAAAUUCAGGUACAACUCCCCCAGUCUUUUCCAAGGUCUUCAUAUAGUAAUCCAUUGAAAUGAACAAGACGUUCGAAUUUCCAGGGAAAGGAGAGUAUCCUGUCUUUUCAUCAGCAAAAUCUGAUCCUAAACCGCAGCUCUUGAGUAAAGGAGUGAGCUGGUUAUAUUCUGUAUUAAUAGUAAUUUUCUUUCCAUCUGGAUAUCUGAGCUUACACAAAGCGCCAACUGCCUCGCAUGGAAUACGGGGAAUUGUCAAACUAUUCAUCACGAAUGAAUUCAUUGAUGUAACUCCCAAUACUGGAAGUACUGAAUUAAAAACUAAAGCAUUUGUAUCUUGGAUGAAAACCAAAAAUCUUACUCCUUUCUCAAAAAGAUCCUUCAAAAGUCCUGAAGCAUGGAGCAAAGUGUGAAUAUCUCCGUGGCCAUGAGGCUUUGUUAAGAUUGAGUAUUUGUCUUCAGGAUCCAAUGCAAUCUUUGCAUCAGAAUCUAUCAAAGCAGGGACCUUGAGUUGUUUUACUAUAUACACCUGGUCCUCUCUCAAGCCAAAAUGAUCAUUUUCUUCCAAAAACUUUCUAGUCAUACUGUCAGUAUCAUCAGAUGUCAUGAUAAGCAAAGGAAUUACAAUAUCUUCUCCGAAAGCCUCCUUCAACCUUCUCUGAUACUCCCUGAUAUAGUUUGUGUAUAACUGGAAAAAUGUGAUGUUGGAAGCCAUUGACAGCUCGAUUCCUAUUUUUAUUCCCUCAAAUGCAAGUCUUUCACCCAAACCGCCAGCUACCAAAACAAAGGCAACAUUUUUUAGGACAGAAAAGCCGUGCUCCUCAUAUUUUUUAAAGUCUUCAGUACCAACAUCUAAGUUAACUACCUCUGGAACCUCAGGAUAACACCCUUCUCUUGGAUUAACACCGUCCUUUGAGUCUUUCAAUAACUUCUUAGCUCUGUUAAUAUAUCCAAGUAACCCACCACCCACACACGAAGUUUCCAAAGUCAUUAACUGAGAAAUUAGUCUAUUUACAUUAUCAGAAUCGCCAGACUCCAACAAAUUUAAAAUGUGGUCCUGACCACCCUUAACAAGACUUUCCUUUAAACUUUCCAAGUCCAAUUUCUUUCCUGAGUUGCUUGGACUUCUUAAAGAUAUUGUAACAACCAUCGAAAAAUAAAAGGUGAAAAAAUAUAAAAUAUAUAAGAAACAGAAUUUCAAAAACGAUUUAUUACGGAACAUUUUUGCAAUGUUGAAGAUACCUAAAAACAAAAAAGUACCCACAGUAUUUGGCGCCCAAACUUAUGUACCCCUCAUUUUAAUCAUUGAAAUUUUUAAUCGCUCGCAUCUAAUAGAUAUUAAUUAAACAGAAGGUCGAAAUUGCAUUCCCUGUUUAUUAUAUUUUGUUGACUUCUUAUUAUUUCGACUCAAUACUUUAAUUCUCUUGAUUUGGAGGUAGGACGGA
This 2245-nucleotide non-coding RNA is filed under the name Cryptosporidium parvum. Lineage: Eukaryota; Apicomplexa; Conoidasida; Eucoccidiorida; Cryptosporidiidae. The record is from RNAcentral.